Molecule: ribosomal RNA, 468 nt
Filed under: uncultured bacterium
Lineage: Bacteria
Description: partial 16S ribosomal RNA
Rfam family: Bacterial small subunit ribosomal RNA
Source: RNAcentral
GAUGAACGCUGGCGGCGUGCUUAACACAUGCAAGUCGAACGGAAAGGCCCUGCUUUCGUGGGGUUCUCGAGUGGCGAACGGGUGAGUAACACGUGAAUAACCUGCCCUUGACGUUGGGAUAACUUCAGGAGACUGGGGCUAAUACCGGAUAGGAGCUCCUGCUGCUUGGUGGUGGUUGGAAAGUUUCGGCGGUUGGGGAUGGACUCGCGGCUUAUCAGCUUGUUGGUGGGGUAGUUGCUUACCAAGGCUUUGACGGGUAGCCGGCAUGAGAGGGUGAACGGCCACAUUGGGACUGAGAGAGGGCCCAGACUGCUAUGGGAGGCAGAAGUGGGUAAUAUUGACCAAUGGGCGGAAGCCUGAUGCAGCAGCGCCGCGUUCGGAAUGACGGCCUUCUGGGUGUAAACCGCUUUCGCCUAUGACGAAGCGGGAGUGACGGUAAUGGGUAAAGAAGCACCGGCUAACUACGUG